RNAcentral lists this ribosomal RNA (1008 nucleotides) under Vibrio parahaemolyticus. RNAcentral describes it as "partial 23S ribosomal RNA". It matches the Rfam family "Bacterial large subunit ribosomal RNA", at positions 569 to 1583 of the family's 2925-position model. Lineage: Bacteria; Pseudomonadati; Pseudomonadota; Gammaproteobacteria; Vibrionales; Vibrionaceae. The record is from RNAcentral.
AGCAGUAGGAGCAGGCUUUGUCCUGUGACUGCGUACCUUUUGUAUAAUGGGUCAGCGACUUAUAUUCAGUGGCAAGGUUAACCAUCUAGGGGAGCCGUAGGGAAACCGAGUCUUAACUGGGCGUUCAGUCUCUGGAUAUAGACCCGAAACCAGGUGAUCUAGCCAUGGGCAGGUUGAAGGUUGAGUAACAUCAACUGGAGGACCGAACCGACUAAUGUUGAAAAAUUAGCGGAUGACUUGUGGCUAGGGGUGAAAGGCCAAUCAAACCUGGAGAUAGCUGGUUCUCCCCGAAAGCUAUUUAGGUAGCGCCUCGGACGAAUACUACUGGGGGUAGAGCACUGUUAAGGCUAGGGGGUCAUCCCGACUUACCAACCCUUUGCAAACUCCGAAUACCAGUAAGUACUAUCCGGGAGACACACGGCGGGUGCUAACGUCCGUCGUGGAGAGGGAAACAACCCAGACCGCCAGCUAAGGUCCCAAAUUACUACUAAGUGGGAAACGAUGUGGGAAGGCUCAGACAGCCAGGAUGUUGGCUUAGAAGCAGCCAUCAUUUAAAGAAAGCGUAAUAGCUCACUGGUCGAGUCGGCCUGCGCGGAAGAUGUAACGGGGCUAAGUAGUAAACCGAAGCUGCGGCAAUACUCUUUGAGUAUUGGGUAGGGGAGCGUUCUGUAAGCGGUUGAAGGUGUGUGGUAACGCAUGCUGGACGUAUCAGAAGUGCGAAUGCUGACAUGAGUAACGAUAAAGGGGGUGAAAAACCUCCUCGCCGGAAGACCAAGGGUUCCUGUCCAACGUUAAUCGGGGCAGGGUAAGUCGACCCCUAAGGCGAGGCCGAAAGGCGUAGUCGAUGGGAAACGGGUUAAUAUUCCCGUACUUCUUACAAUUGCGAUGGGGGGACGGAGAAGGCUAGGUGGGCCUGGCGACGGUUGUCCAGGUUCAAGUGCGUAGGCUUAAGAGUUAGGUAAAUCCGGCUCUUUUUAAGGCUGAGACACGACGUCGAGCCACUACGGU